AGCCCAUGGUGAAGGCACAUUCUUAAUAAAUCCUUCUAUCUCUCCCAUGCGUCAUAGAGUGUUUCUAAAUCCAUCUACACAAAAGAAGAAAAAUUAUUCCUUAGUUU
Molecule: non-coding RNA, 107 nt
Organism: Gossypium hirsutum (cotton)
Lineage: Eukaryota; Viridiplantae; Streptophyta; Magnoliopsida; Malvales; Malvaceae
Source: Rfam